This is a non-coding RNA of Potamilus streckersoni, 109 nucleotides long. The record is from the annotation of a GenBank genome assembly. NCBI's taxonomy places the organism in Eukaryota, Metazoa, Mollusca, Bivalvia, Unionida, Unionidae.
GCCCCAGUGGCGCAAUCGGUUAGCGCGCCGUACUUAUAGACAGUACUUCCCUGUGUAUAUCACAGAAAGAGAUAUGCGGAGGCUGUGAGUUCGAUCCUCACCUGGGGCA